This 406-nucleotide ribosomal RNA is filed under the name uncultured bacterium. RNAcentral's name for it is "partial 16S ribosomal RNA". It matches the Rfam family "Bacterial small subunit ribosomal RNA", at positions 29 to 526 of the family's 1533-position model. The record is from RNAcentral.
AUUGAACGCUGGCGGCAGGCCUAACACAUGCAAGUCGAACGAGUGGCGGACGGGUGAGUAAUGUCUGGGAAACUGCCUGAUGGAGGGGGAUAACUACUGGAAACGGUAGCUAAUACCGCAUACCAUCGGGUGUGCCCAGCUGGGAUUAGCUAGUAGGUGGGGUAAUGGGUCACCUAGGCGACGAUCCCUAGCUGGUCUGAGAGGAUGACCGGCGACACGGGAACUGAGACACUGUCCAGACGCCUAGGGGAGGCAGCAGUGGAGAAUAUUGCACAAUGGGCGCAAGCCUGAUGCAGCCAUGCAGCGUGUAUGAGGAAGGCCUUAGGGUUGUAAAGUACUAUCAGCGGGGAGGCGUUACCCGCAGAAGAAGCACCGGCUAACUCCGUGCCAGCAGCCGCGGUAAUAC